AGCUCCAAAGCGUAUAUUAAAUUGUUGCGGUUAAACGCUCGUAGUUGGGUAUUUGCUGGGUGGGUGGCGUCCAUCCAAGUGAUGUCUGCACGCCGCCUCCCGGCAUUUUUCUGGGGAGGGUAUCUGUGCUUCACUGUACAGUAUCUGAUCCAGAGCGAUUACUUUGAGAAAACGAGAGUGUUCCAGGCGGGCGUCAGCCAGAAUACAUUAGCAUGGAAUAAUAGCAUAGGACUUCAUUCCUGAGCUUUUUGGUUUAACGGAAUGGAGGAACGCAAAUAGGGAUAGUUGGGGGCAUUCGUAUUUAACUGUCAGAGGUGAAAUUCUUGGAUUUUUUAAAGACGAACUAGUGCGAAAGCAUCUGCCCAGGAUGUUUUUA
Molecule: ribosomal RNA, 376 nt
Filed under: uncultured eukaryote
Lineage: Eukaryota
Description: SSU rRNA
Rfam family: Eukaryotic small subunit ribosomal RNA
Source: RNAcentral